Long non-coding RNA from Pseudoliparis swirei, 1803 nucleotides. RefSeq lists it as uncharacterized. NCBI's taxonomy places the organism in Eukaryota, Metazoa, Chordata, Actinopteri, Perciformes, Liparidae. The record is from RefSeq and is a predicted model, not a curated record. The transcript is spliced from 4 exons.
AGUUCAAAGGAGAGGCCAGGUGUCAGUGAUCAGGCUGAUCACAGCAAUCAACACAAAAAAAGCAGAUUGAACUGUUGAACCCGGUUUCGCGCCACUUCUCCGCAGUUUGAGCUGCGCGCUGCUCUCCUGCUUCAGUGACUCACUAAAAGCCACAGAAGGAACGACAGCCUCCUGACAUGACAUCUCUUCUUGAGACAUUGUAAUCCAACUUGGAUGGAACAACUUCGUGACCUUAAUCACCUUACAGAUGGAGCCCGUUGAGAUAACCACUUAUACCCAUGUGUAUGAUGACAUUGGAAGGCCUAUAUAUGACAAUGUAACCGUGGAAGAAAAUGUAAACUAACCUUUAGUCUAAGCUUGUAUGAUAUAAUUGUGUAAAACUCCUCACAAGGAACGGACAAUUAUUGAUGUGAAACUGCUGACUAAAAAGUUUAAAUCCCAAAGAGAUUGUUGUGGUGUUACUAACAAAUAAUGUGUAAACAAAUAAUCAUGAUUCUGCUUAGACUGCUUAACCAAAAUACGUAAAUCACAUUCUGCUUAGAAUUAGAAAGAUACAAGUAAAAUGAUUGCCUUUAUUGAACAUGUUUAAUAAUCAUCAAUAGCAUAAAUAGGAGGGAAAUGAUGGGGAUAUAAAUGUCUGUUAUGCUCUUGCUGACCUUAUCUAAUACUAAACAGCCAGGAGAGGCUUCUCCUUUGCUGUGACCCCACACGAAGGUUAAAGAACAUAUCUUCGGAAACGUGUCUUGUGAAAACGAUAUGGAAGUGAAAGAGAUGAGCCAGCAACGGAGGGAAAGAACAGGUCAACGCCUCAACGUCUUAACCUCAGUUCAACGGGUUACCCGCAGUUCCACUUCCCUUUUGAUGAUGUGUAUGUGUGUGUUAAGGUUUCAAUAAAAGGCUGAAGCAAAGGGGUGCUCAGUGGGAAGUCUUGGACGUCGACACUGCUCUGAGCAGGUGUGACUGAGCUCCCCCUUUUGCAAAAGCCAUCAAAGAUACUGCUUGUCUGUGGUUCAUUCUCGCCUCCUUGACCGUGAUAUUUACAUGAUAUAGAAAAUACCUAUCACACCUAGCAACACGAGCUAGAGAGACACACAAGCAGCACAGGGGAGGAUCUGCAGCAAAGGGACCACCGGAAAUCAAACCUUGGCCGCCAUGAUGACGACAUGUGGCACUUGAGUGUGAAUCUAGCCUUUUCAUUUUUAUUUACAACAUUAGCAUUGAAAAGAGCAAAAGUUGAUGCUUAAGAUGAUUUAGUUUUUACCGAAGAGGAUGUAUGUCCUCCCUUUGUCCUUUAUCCCCUUACUCUUUCUUUUUAGGUGUGACUACGACUACCAGCAUGAACCUCAACACCUUCUUUGCUGUUCCACUAGUGUGACCCAUGAUCGGAUACAAGUUGUCAAGGAUAAACGGUGAGAAUCAUGUCAGCCCACAGACAACCGAUUGACCUGUGAGCCUUCAAGCAGUAAUGAUGACUACUCCUGCCUUAAGUUCCAGUUUCCUGAACAUCAUGUCGGCAUGAGAUUCUGUCCCCACCUGUCUUCAGUCUGGACCCAAUAAGUUUUUUUUUUUUACAGUGCAUUUACAGUCACAUGGUUUAUUUCGAGGCUUUGUCUGAGUUUCAGUGCUGCAGUUAUUUACCAUUCAGGGUUGUUCAGAAACAUCCAAUUUGUCAUACUCAUUUGAAGGGCUUGCUGCAGUGAUUCUUUUGUGUACACCAGGAUUUCUUUGUAUUUUGGCAUUUCACACAAAUGUUUUUGAAAGAUGGUCAACAAAGUUGCACAAAUAAAUGUUUACAUGCUGUUA